RNAcentral lists this ribosomal RNA (301 nucleotides) under uncultured bacterium. RNAcentral describes it as "partial 16S ribosomal RNA". It matches the Rfam family "Bacterial small subunit ribosomal RNA", at positions 509 to 807 of the family's 1533-position model. The record is from RNAcentral.
CAGCCGCCACGGUAAUACGAAGGGUGCAAGCGUUAAUCGGAACUACAGGGCGUAAAGCGUGCGUAGGCGGUGAGUUAAGUCUGCUGUGAAAUCCCCGGGCUCAACCUGGGAAUGGCAGUGGAUACUGGCUCGCUAGAGUGUGUCAGAGGAUGGUGGAAUUCCCGGUGUAGCGGUGAAAUGCGUAGAGAUCGGGAGGAACAUCAGUGGCGAAGGCGGCCAUCUGGGACAACACUGACGCUGAGGCACGAAAGCGUGGGGAGCAAACAGGAUUAGAUACCCGGGUAGUCCCUGUCUCUUAUAC